CCUUCCUCUCUUAUGCACUCAUCUCCAUUGUGCCCACAACAAGAGCCACAAGAGGCCCAACUAAGAUGCCCCAUCUAUAAAUGCAGUAAGACCACAAGAGGCCCUCCCUUAUAAUCUUUUUUUCCUAAAAAAUUAUAGAGAUGGACAAGUAGGUUGGACUCCACAAGCAAAGAUUCUCAAGGGCAAGGGGCAUGUGGAGAUGAGAGAUCAACAUUAGAAUGGAAGAGGAGAAUAGUACAUCUUAUCUCUCUUCUUUGAACACCAACUAUCAUUGAUGGGUGUCAAGAGGACACACAUGUGAAGGAGGAUUGCAUGAAGAAUAACAAGGAUUUUCUUAAGAUUCUCUUUGCCAGUUUUUUUUCAUAAAGGCAACAUUUUGUGGAUCUUGGAGCCAAAAUACAACUCUGCUUGGAUAAAAGACUCGUCCCAGGUGGUAACGUAGAAGAAAGCCCCAAUCUCCAUAAUCCUCAUUGAUGCCUCUUCGCAGUGACCCAGCUUGUAAAGAGAUCAAUUUGAGUUAGAAAGGCCAUUGGCCUUAUGGUUUGAUGGCUAUUGUUAUAUUGGUUAAUUUCUUUUGUGGUGGAUGAUUACAAACCUAUAUGAUUAUGAUUGAGAACUAUAUUUUCUAGA
This is a long non-coding RNA of Elaeis guineensis (African oil palm), 630 nucleotides long. RefSeq lists it as uncharacterized. NCBI's taxonomy places the organism in Eukaryota, Viridiplantae, Streptophyta, Magnoliopsida, Arecales, Arecaceae. The record is from RefSeq and is a predicted model, not a curated record.